Molecule: ribosomal RNA, 531 nt
Filed under: uncultured bacterium
Lineage: Bacteria
Description: bacterial SSU rRNA
Rfam family: Bacterial small subunit ribosomal RNA
Source: RNAcentral
AGAGUUUGAUCAUGGCUCAGGACGAACGCUGGCGGCGCGCUUAACACAUGCAAGUCGAGCGAGAACCAGUCCUUCGGGGCUGGGGAAAGCGGCGAACGGGUGAGUAACACGUGGGUAAUCUGCCCUCGGCACCGGAAUAGCCCGGGGAAACCCGGAUUAAUACCGGAUGGCCCAACAGCUCUUCGGGGCGGUUGGAAAAGGUAGCUUUGGCCUCCGGCCGAGGACGAGCUCGCGGCGGAUUAGCUUGUUGGUGGGGUAAUGGCCUACCAAGGCGACGAUCCGUAGCUGGUCUGAGAGGACGAUCAGCCACACUGGGACUGAGACACGGCCCAGACUCCUACGGGAGGCAGCAGUGGGGAAUCUUGCACAAUGGGCGAAAGCCUGAUGCAGCGACGCCGCGUGAGGGAAGAAGGCUUUCGGGUUGUAAACCUCUUUCAGGAGGGACGAAGCUACUCGGGUUAAUAGCCCAGAGGGUGACGGUACCUCCAGAAGAAGCCCCGGCUAACUACGUGCCAGCAGCCGCGGUAAUAC